This 400-nucleotide unclassified non-coding RNA is filed under the name Hevea brasiliensis (rubber tree). The record is from RNAcentral. Lineage: Eukaryota; Viridiplantae; Streptophyta; Magnoliopsida; Malpighiales; Euphorbiaceae.
GUUAAACAGAACCAUAAAAGUUUUUCAUUACUGUCUUGUCAUAUAAUAGACUUCAAUUGGUUAUAGUGAAGUUGCAUAAAUGUUGUGUUCAUCCAGUUCAAGCCUGCAAAUGGACAAGAAAAUAAAUUAUUAUACAGCAAAAUGUAAAAUAGUACAGCAAAAAAUACAAACUAAAAUACAAAUUCUGCAAAAUUUUCAAUAAGCAACAUGCCAUGAUUAACUUUCCAUUCACUACGCAAACAACAUAUUGAAUAAUGAUCCAUGGUGGCAGAAGCCAUGCUUGUUGGAGAUAGAUUAGCAUUCCAACAUAUAUGCACGACACAAAUAGCAAAAGUGCAAUGGAAGGAAAAAGAAUUAAAUAAAAAAAAAUGUAGGGGCACAAUUAAUGUAAAAAAACAUA